GAUGAAGAACGCAGCGAAAUGCGAUAAGUAAUGUGAAUUGCAGAAUUCAGUGAAUCAUCGAGUUUUUGAACGCAUAUUGCGCCCCCUGGUAUUCCGGGGGGCAUGCCUGUCCGAGCGUCAUUGCUGCCCUCAAGCACGGCUUGUGUGUUGGGCCUCCGUCCUCCUCCCGGGGGACGGGCCCGAAAGGCAGCGGCGGCACCGCGUCCGGUCCUCGAGCGUAUGGGGCUUCGUCACCCGCUCUUGUAGGCCCGGCCGGCGCUUGCCGACACAUCAAUCUUUUUUCCAGGUUGACCUCGGAUCAGGUAGGGAUACCCGCUGAACUUAAGCAUAUCAAUAAGCGGAGGA
RNAcentral lists this unclassified non-coding RNA (345 nucleotides) under soil metagenome. RNAcentral's name for it is "partial contains 5.8S ribosomal RNA, internal transcribed spacer 2, and large subunit ribosomal RNA". The stretch from base 1 to 120 matches the Rfam family "5.8S ribosomal RNA", at positions 35 to 154 of the family's 154-position model. The record is from RNAcentral.